This is an RNA transcript of Phyllopteryx taeniolatus (common seadragon), 7756 nucleotides long. It is a transcript of the gene named poly (ADP-ribose) polymerase family, member 6a, with no coding region annotated. The record is from RefSeq and is a predicted model, not a curated record. NCBI's taxonomy places the organism in Eukaryota, Metazoa, Chordata, Actinopteri, Syngnathiformes, Syngnathidae. The transcript is spliced from 2 exons.
UUAAACCACUCACUGCACUCUGAACUUUCAAACGCAAUGGCUUCUGAUGCACUCUGCUCCCUUUGUAACUCCUUGCUAGGCCCGUCACGAUAGCAAAUUCUUUAGGAUGAUAUAUUUUCCCAAAAACUAUCACGAUAAACCAACGCAUCAUUGUUUUUUUUGUUUUUUUAAAAUACCACUGAUAUAAUGAUAUUAGAGCAUAAUAAUUCAAGUAUAUCCUUUUUAAGAACAAUUCACUUUUAAUUCUGAAGAAUAUUGAACACUGGCAUUGAAAUGUAGAACAAUAAAUAAAAUAUCUUAGAUCAAUAAAAAAAUAAAAAAUACAAAUAAAACACUCAGGCUCUGUUCACAAAAAUUGCACAUAAAUAUAAAACAAUUGGUAUAGAGAGUCAUUAACCUACGGAGCCCCCCUUGUGCCAAGGUAUGAGAAAAAUAAAAUUCAUUGAUAAUCUGUUCCCUCAAUUUAGUAAUCCGUACCCUCAGUUUAGUAAACUGUACCCUCAGUUUAGCAAAUGUCUGGGGCUCCGUAUACCUACGUAUAUCUGUCAAGUAAAGUAAAUUCUAUUUGUAUGUUAUCUUACUCGUGUGAAUUCUGUGUAUAAAUUGUCAUGUCGUGAUAUAUCCUACAUCCCAUUUUUUUCAACUGAAAGGCAAUAUUGCUGUAGUUCGAGGGGGUUGAUCAUUAUAUAGCAGUACUAGCAGGACUGGCUACAAUUAGCCUGCGUGUUUCCUAAACACAGUACUAAAUUGAGGGUACAGAUUACUAAACUGAGGGUACAGUUUACUAAACUGAGGCAACGGAUUACUAAAUUGAGGGAACAGAUUAUCAGUGAAUUUUAUUUUUCUCAUACCUUGGCACCAGGGGGGCUCCGUAUUAACCCACUAAAGAGGCCCAAAAAUGUUUUUUUUUUUUUUUUUUUUUUUUUAAAGAAAGCCUGCCAAAUUUGAAUGAAUUAAUAAAAAUCACCAUGUAUGUAAAAUAAGGCUCUGAAAUCCAGAAAAAUAAUACCCUAGAGCUGCAGGACUGUGUGGAAGUGUCCGCUGAAGGGGCUGAAGACAGAAAUUCACCUGUCAAAACAAAUACGUCGCUGUAGUCACCUACUAGCUGAAUAAUGUGAGCCGCUGUGGUUAUGGUUAGUAGGGUUAGUAAAGAGUUAACUUUCCUGUGUUUGUGUGUAUUAUGUGAUGACUAACACACACAAUGCCACUGACGUUUUAAAUGACCUCGCUACGGUCGAGCAACAUGUUGAGCUCGCUUGCUCGCGAAAAUAACAAAGUUAACUUUACCAAAAGUGUCUCUGUUGUGUCACACAAACAAGGCCGGAUUUGAACCCUGGGCCUUAGAACUGUGAGGCAGAUGUGCUAACCAGUUGUUCACUGUGCUGCCCUGAACCAUAAGUCUAUAUAGUAUUUAUCGUGACAGGCCUACUCCGAGCGUUCUUCCUUUCGCUCGAUUUUGUUCAUGACUUUUUGCUCUCUAACAGCAGUGACCUUAUCUAUUCCUUGCAUUUCUCUUCACUUCUACGUUUCCAGAUUUUCGUGUCUCUUAUUUCGUAGUACAGUCUUUUAAUUUUGGGAAUUCUGUGCUUGGCAUCUAUUACUGGAAUUCUAGCACCCUACCAUAAAGUCAACAUUUCACCAUCAACAAUUGUUGUAUGUUCUUUUAAAUUAUUUGUGUCUCUGCGAAUGAUGUAGAAGAACUAGUGAAAUAAGGCUUUUAUUGUUCAUUCUGAAGCCAAUUGAAUAUACAAUAUAGAUAUACCUGUAAAAUCUAGUAAAAAUUGGAACCUUUUUCUUUAUCAUUUUGCAAAGUUUCUCCAGUAGAUAAUUAUCGAAUCAACCCUCAUUAACAUGGACUUGCUAAAAUGAUUGAAAUUGCGAAGUCACACGAGAUACAAUAAUGGCAUGAUAGUUUGCUAAUGAUAACCAUAUUGCAAUACAGCGAUUCAGCUUUGGAAAACCAAAUUUGUUCUAUUCUUAGACACAUUAUCAAUCAUAGUGUUCUUGGAAUUUGUUCAUAGAUAUUAACACGAGAUACCAUACUUUUGAACUUUAGAAAAAAAAAAAAAAAGUCAACCCCCACACAUUUGAGGUUUGGCAAUUGACAAUAUUUUUAGGUAUAUUUAUUUAUUUAUUUAUUUUAAGGCACUGAACCUCCUUUAGCCGCAGAAAACCCCGCCUACUCGCAAUUUCCUAUGAUGUAGCAAAAAGUCAGAUUAAAAAAAAAAAAUUUAAUAUUUUUUUUUUUUUUUUUUUUUUUUUCGUGGCAAAAUUCUGUUUACAGUAAAGUGGACCCUCACUAUUCAUGGGGAAUAAGGACCGUGCUCAACCACAAAUAGUGAAAAUCUCCGAAUAAUUGACCCCCAUUAUAAUGGCCUUGAGGAAAAAAAUCUCUUUUUAAACCAAAGAUUUUUUUGAAUAAGUGGGGAUAUACCGCCAAUAAUGAAUGCAGCCCUAUGGGGGGCACAAGUCAGUGCAAACUGUAGGCCGGUCCCAAGCCCGGAUAAAUGCAGAGGGUUGCGUCAGGAAGGGCAUCCGGCUUAAAACCUUGCCAAACAAAUAUGAGCGUUCAUCCAAAUAAUUCCAUACCGGAUCGGUCGUGGCCCGGGUUAACAACGUCCGCCACCGGCGCCGUCAACCUGCAGGGCGCUGUUGGAAAUCCAGCUACUGUGGGUCGAAGUCAAAGUCAAAGAAGAAGAAGAAGAAGAGGUGGAAAGCGGGUUCUUCGGCAGAAAGAGAAGAGGAAAACACAGAGCCUAGAACUGAAUGUGGGGACUUUGAAUGUUGGGACUAUGACAGGAAAAUCUCGGGAGUUGGUUGACAUGAUGAUUAGGAGAAAGGUUGAUAUAUUGUGUGUCCAGGAGACCAGGUGGAAAGGCAGUAAGGCUAGAAGUUUAGGGGCAGGGUUUAAAUUAUUUUACCAUGGUGUAGAUGGGAAGAGAAAUGGAGUCGGGGUUAUUUUAAAAGAAGAGUUGGCUAAGAAUGUCUUGGAGGUGAAAAGAGUAUCAGAUCGAGUGAUGAGGCUGAAAUUUGAAAUUGAGGGUGUUAUGUGUAAUGUGAUUAGUGGCUAUGCCCCACAGGUAGGAUGUGACCUAGAGGUGAAAGAAAUUCUGGAAGGAGCUAGAUGAUGUAGUUCUGAGCAUCCCAGACAGAGAGAGAGUCGUAAUUGGUGCAGAUUGUAAUGGACAUGUUGGUGAAGGUAAUAAGGGUGAUGAAGAAGUGAUGGGUAAGUACGGUAUCCAGGAAAGGAACUUGGAGGGACAGAUGGUGGUAGACUUUGCAACAAGGAUGCAAAUGGCUGUAGUGAACACUUUUUUCCAGAAGAGGCAUGAACAUAGGGUGACCUACAAGAGCGGAGGUAGAAGCACACAGGUGGAUUACAUCUUGUGCAGACGAUGUAAUCUGAAGGAGGUUACCAACUGUAAGGUAGUGGUAGGGGAGAGUGUGGCUAGACAGCAUAGGAUGGUGGUGUGUAAGAUGACUCUGGUGGUGGGGAGGAAAAUUAGGAAGACAAAGGCAGAGAAGAGAACCAUGUGGUGGAAGCUGAGACAGGACGAGUGUUGUGCAGCUUUUCGGGAAGAGGUGAUACAGGCUCUCGGUGGACGGGAAGAGCUUCCAGAAGACUGGACCACUGCAGCCAAGGUGAUCAGAGAAGCAGGCAGGAGAGUACUUGGUGUAUCUUCUGGCAGGAAAGGAGAGAAGGAGACUUGGUGGUGGAACCUCAUAGUACAGGAAAUCAUACAAGGAAAACGGUUAGCUAAGAAGAAGUGGGACACUGAGAGGACCGAGGAGAGGCGAAAGGAAUACAUUGAGAUGCGACACAGGGCAAAGGUAGAGGUGGCAAAGGCAAAACAAGAGGCAUAUGAUGACAUGUAUGGGAGGUUGGACACUAAAGAAGGAGAAAAGGAUCUAUACAGGCUGGCCAGACAGAGGGAUGGAGAUGGGAAGGAUGUGCAGCAGGUUAGGGUGAUUAAGGAUAGAGAUGGAAAUAUGUUGACUGGUGCCAGCAGUGUGCUAGGUAGAUGGAAAGAAUACUUCGAGGAGUUGAUGAAUGAGGAAAAUGAUAGAGAAGGGAGAGUAGAAGAGGCAAGUGUGGUGGACCAGGAAGUGGCAAUGAUUAGUAAGGGGGAAGUUAGAAAGGCAUUAAAGAGAAUGAAAAAUGGAAAGGCAGUUGGUCCUGAUGACAUUCCUGUGGAGGUAUGGAAGCAUCUAGGAGAGGUGGCUGUGGAGUUUUUGACCAGCUUGUUCAAUAGAAUUCUAGUGCGUGAGAAGAUGCCUGAGGAAUGGAGGAAAAGUGUACUGGUGCCCAUUUUUAAGAACAAAGGUGAUGUGCAGAGCUGUGGCAACUAUAGAGGAAUAAAGUUGAUGAGCCACACAAUGAAGUUAUGGGAAAGAGUAGUGGAGGCUAGACUCAGGACAGAAGUGAGUAUUUGCGAGCAACAGUAUGGUUUCAUGCCUAGAAAGAGUACCACAGAUGCAUUAUUUGCCUUGAGGAUGUUGAUGGAAAAGUACAGAGAAGGUCAGAAGGAGCUACAUUGUGUCUUUGUACAUCUAGAGAAAGCCUAUGACAGAGUACCCAGAGAGGAACUGUGGUACUGCAUGCGGAAGUCUGGAGUGGCAGAGAAGUAUGUUAGAAUAAUACAGGACAUGUACGAGGGCAGCAGAACAGCGGUGAGGUGUGCUGUCGGUGUGACAGAAGAAUUUAAGGUGGACGUGGGACUGCAUCAGGGAUCAGCCCUGAGCCCCUUCCUUUUUGCAGUGGUGAUGGAUAGGCUGACAGAUGAGGUUAGACUGGAAUCCCCGUGGACCAUGAUGUUUGCAGAUGACAUUGUGAUCUGCAGUGAAAGCAGGGAGCAGCUGGAGGAACAGUUAGAAAGAUGGAGGCAUGCACUGGAAAGAAGAGGAAUGAAGAUUAGCCGAAGUAAAACAGAAUAUAUGUGCAUGAAUGAGAGGGGUGGUGGGGGAAGAAUGAGGCUACAGGGAGAAGAGAUGGCAAGGGUAGAGGACUUUAAAUACUUGGGGUCAACCGUCCAGAGCAAUGGUGAGUGUGGUCAGGAAGUGAAGAAACGGGUCCAAGCAGGUUGGAACGGGUGGAGGAAGGUGUCAGGUGUGCUAUGUGACAGAAGAGUCUCUGCUAGGAUGAAGGGCAAAGUUUAUAAAACAGUGGUGAGGCCAGCCAUGAUGUACGGAUUAGAGACAGUGGCACUGAAGAGAAAACAGGAAGCAGAGCUGGAGGUGGCGGAAAUGAAGAUGUUGAGGUUCGCUCUCGGAGUGACCAGGUUGGAUAAAAUUAGAAAUGAGCUCAUCAGAGGGACAGCCAAGGUUCGAUGUUUUGGAGACAAAGUUAGAGAGAGCAGACUUCAAUGGUUUGGACACGUCCAGAGGAGAGAGAGUGAGUAUAUUGGUAGAAGGAUGAUGAGGAUGGAGCUGCCAGGCAAGAGAGCUAGAGGAAGACCAAAGAGAAGGUUGAUGGAUGUCGUGAGGGAAGACAUGAUGGCAGUUGGUGUUCGAGAGGAGGAUGCAGGAGAUAGGCUCUCAUGGAAAAGGAUGACACGCAGUGGCAACCCCUAACGGGACAAGCCGAAAGGAAAAGAAGAAGAUACCGCCAAUAAUGCCUGGAUCAGACUACGAGAAAUUUGGGCUUUCACAAUGACACUAUGUCAAACAAACUGCCAUAAAAUCAUGCCGUAUCUCCGUCAGCCCCUGGCAACACUAUACAACACAUAUACAAGACCACCGUAUCCCAUCUUUUAUGAUAACUGGGCUUUAUCUUGUCAAAUCAAAUAUUGUCGGGAGGCGGGACCAGAUACAGGUCACCAGUCACCUGACCGGAUACAACCGUUACCAUGCCGACAACAACAGCAAUGGCAUGCGGCAAUGUAUUGUGGUAAAUAAAUGAACAAAAAGGGCGUUUUGGGCUGUCCAUUAAAGGAGAGCUUGAGGUAUGUUCACAUACUUCUAACAUGGCUCGCAACCAGGCACCAUAACGUUAUGUAGCUUGUGCUAGCACUAAUGUUUGGACGUAAACAUGAUGGGGUUCUGCCGAGUCAUGCUCUAAAGCUUUGGUAAAUAUUGGUUUGUGUGCCUGAAUAAAUGUUGACAUUGGCAACCAAGUAUGUUGACAGUGGCGAGUAGGGGAGGCAAUGCCCCGGUUGCAAUACGCAAUCCUAUUGGUCAGUGUCAAGGUGCACUGUUGGACGGUUGUCAUUCAUAUGUCACACUACAUGGAAGUUAUCCCAAAAAAUCAAACAUGCCACACUUUUUGUUUUGGCGUCGUAGGGCCAUCGUAUGGCCGAAUCGUUGGUCGUGGAUUAUGUCACUCUACAAGAAGUUUUGUCGUUCCCGACAAAAUAUGUCAGGCCCCAUCUGGGAAAUCGCCUACGAUAGCAAAUCGGUCCAAUAACGGGGCUAAAAUCCUGUAGUCUGAUCUAGGCAUAAGUGUUUUCCAUGAAAAAAUGGGUUGGUCCCCCUCACCCCCCAAACAAAAUAUGAUAAAUUGAACAAAUACCAGAAAAAAAAAUCUGUGAAUACUGUACCGUUGGUGCCAAACCACGAGUAUGGACUGCAUGUAUGUACUUCUGGAGAACAGUCCUGAGGUUUUCAGUGGUUAACCUUUGGUAUGGCUCCAUGUUUAUCUAUGAGGGCAUGGAGUGAGGGCUAGUAUAUUAGUCUUAUCGGCCCCCAGUGGGACGUAAACAACCAGCUUGUACACAGUAACUAAUUUGCUGGUUAAAAAACGUCACCAUUUAACAUCUUUAGCAAUUCAAUGUCCAUCCAGCAGCAUUUAUCCAUCAUCCAAAUACAAUAUCCGCACACCAACUGUUAAUGCUCAGCUCAUCUCUGCGUCAGGAACAGGCUAAGUAGUUAGGUGGGCACGUCGGCAUGUAGCCCGCAUGUCUGUUUGGUUUCGGGUCUUUGUCCAAACCAAUAGGUAGCUGUAGACCCAUAGAUAUAGUAGGCUUAUACUGUAUAUGUUUUGUUUAUCUCUGCGCAAUGGUUAGCACGUAACUCGUUCGCCUCUCGCCACAUCUCAGUUUUGCUUAUACGUUGACUUGUGGCAUUUUUAAGAGUACAACAUUGUUUGAAGAUGUUUACAAGUGUAUGAUAUGCUAUUAAGGUGUUUAAGGAUCAUAGUUUGACGCAUACUUUAAGUCUAAACUGUUGAUAGAGGCAAUUGUAACUUUAUCCCUUAUCACAAAUUCUAUCACUUUUAGUGGGAGUGUCAAUUAUUUCCAGAAAUUUGCUAUUCGAAAUCGGGCUUGGUCCCUAUCCCCCGCGAAUAGCCGGGGUUCACUGUAAUUAAAUCCCACGAGUUAUGAUGGAUUUAUAUAUUCUUUUGCAUUUUGAACAUAGGCCUUUUUUAUUUAUUUAUGUUAUUUUUUACUCAAUAUGAACAAAAAAAUGCAACUUCAUUCAAUAUUAGUGACAUAGUGUCAAUAGUUGGAUGAGAUUGUAACUUAUCAACUGCACUACUAGAUACAGCAACUCCACCAUGAAACUUGGUGAAUGAAGCCCAUUAUUCUUGUCCUUACAGUGGAUUUUAGAUGUGUGCAUGUUCUUUCCUUUCUCUCUCUCUCAUUACAUGCAAAUGCCGCUGGGCUCCACCGAUGAACACAGAAGAAGAAUUAUGAGAGGCUGCAGAAAGCACUGGACAGUGUCAUGUCCAUACGGGAAAUGACCCAGGGCUCGUAUUUGGAGAUCAAGAAGCAGAUGGACAAACUGGAUCCUUUGGCCCAUCCCCUGCUACAGUGGUGGG